This 468-nucleotide ribosomal RNA is filed under the name uncultured bacterium. RNAcentral describes it as "partial 16S ribosomal RNA". It matches the Rfam family "Bacterial small subunit ribosomal RNA", at positions 28 to 507 of the family's 1533-position model. The record is from RNAcentral.
GACGAACGCUGGCGGCGUGCUUAACACAUGCAAGUCGAACGGAAAGGCCCUGCUUUUGUGGGGUGCUCGAGUGGCGAACGGGUGAGUAACACGUGAGUAACCUGCCCUUGACUUUGGGAUAACUUCAGGAAACUGGGGCUAAUACCGGAUAGGAGCUCCUGCUGCAUGGCGGGGGUUGGAAAGUUUCGGCGGUUGGGGAUGGACUCGCGGCUUAUCAGCUUGUUGGUGGGGUAGUGGCUUACCAAGGCUUUGACGGGUAGCCGGCCUGAGAGGGUGACCGGCCACAUUGGGCCUGGGGUACGGCCCAGACUCCAACGGGAGGCAGCAGUGGGGAAUAUUGCACAAUGGGCGGAAGCCUGAUGCAGCGACGCCGCGUGCGGGAUGACGGCCUUCAGGUUGUAAACCGCUUUCGCCUGUGACGAAGCGUGAGUGACGGUAAUGGGUAAAAAAGCACCGGCUAACUACGUG